ACAAAAAAAAACAAAGUAAACAAAAGACAAAAAGGCCAUUCAUCUCCUUCCUCCUUACACCCCAACCGCCGGCCACCACACUCCAGCCACUCCAUCGCCGCCUGCCGCCCCAUUUUCACCGGAAAACAGAUCCGGCCAGCACCACCAGACACCCCUAGGGUUUCCCUUCAACCCUAGUCAUCAAAUACUCCAUCUCCACCACAAAACCACCACUGCUCCGCCGCUGCUCCACCGUCCAGCCACCAUGCUGCUGCUACUCGACCUCCAGCAGCCACCAUUCAACUCCAUUUAUGUCCAAGAAGCCGAGCUCCACUGCACCACCACCACUCCAAGACGGUCAAGAAGGGGAGAGGGACGUCCAGACAUCAAAACAAGUCGUUACAGAUCUGUCCAUGCUUAGUUAUAGUGCCACGAGUCUCAAAAACGUUUUGUUACUUGUUUUAUCUCUCGCAGUCAAGAACCACCGCGAACAGUCACCACUAGCCACCAUAUUCAGAUCUGAAAAACCUUGAAAACAGGUUAACACAUUCAAGCAAAUCCUCUACUUGCUAGUUGCUGCUACUUGAAAACUAAGGUACUAGAUGAUCGCUUUAUGUGUUGGAUUGCUUGCCAUUACAUGCUACAUGAAGAACCUUGCCCCAUCCAUAAACCCUUAGGAAUGCUUCGUCAAUUUGCUAAAGACAUAAUUUCUAUUUAAGUUAUCUUAAUGAUAAUUCAAGUUUUUGAUAAACGAUGUCCGUAUCAUAUGUUGUAUUUCAAACUUUUAAACAAUAUUAUCUUUCAAUAUAAUAUAA
This is a long non-coding RNA of Erigeron canadensis, 794 nucleotides long. RefSeq lists it as uncharacterized. NCBI's taxonomy places the organism in Eukaryota, Viridiplantae, Streptophyta, Magnoliopsida, Asterales, Asteraceae. The transcript is spliced from 4 exons. The record is from RefSeq and is a predicted model, not a curated record.